CGGUAAUACGGAGGGUGCGAGCGUUAAUCGGAAUUACUGGGCGUAAAGCGCAUGCAGGUGGUUUGUUAAGUUCAGAUGUGAAAGACCCGGGGCGUUAACCUCGGAAUAGCAUUUGUAAACUAGGCAGACUAGAGUACUGUAGAGGGGGGUAGGAAUUUCAGGUGUAGCGGUGAAAUGCGUAGAGAUCUGAAGGAAUACCGGUGGCGAAGGCGGCCCCCUCGGACAGAUACUGACACUCAGAUGCGAAAGCGUGGGGAGCAAACAGGAUUAGAUACCCUGGUAG
RNAcentral lists this ribosomal RNA (283 nucleotides) under uncultured bacterium. Its description in RNAcentral is "partial 16S ribosomal RNA". It matches the Rfam family "Bacterial small subunit ribosomal RNA", at positions 518 to 793 of the family's 1533-position model. The record is from RNAcentral.